This 233-nucleotide ribosomal RNA is filed under the name uncultured bacterium. RNAcentral's name for it is "partial 16S ribosomal RNA". It matches the Rfam family "Bacterial small subunit ribosomal RNA", at positions 794 to 1025 of the family's 1533-position model. The record is from RNAcentral.
UCCACGCCGUAAACGAUGUCAACUAGCCGUUGGGAGCAUUUGAGCUUUUAGUGGCGCAGCUAACGCAUUAAGUUGACCGCCUGGGGAGUACGCACGCAAGUGUAAAACUCAAAGGAAUUGACGGGGGCCCGCACAAGCGGUGGAGCAUGUGGUUUAAUUCGAUGCAACGCGAAGAACCUUACCAGCCCUUGACAUUGAUAGAAUCCUUUAGAGAUAGAGGAGUGCCUUCGGGC